UGUCGUCAGCUCGUGCCGUGAGGUGUCGGCUUAAGUGCCAUAACGAGCGCAACCCUUGCCACUAGUUACUAACAGGUGAUGCUGAGGACUCUGGUGGGACUGCCAGCGUAAGCUGCGAGGAAGGCGGGGAUGACGUCAAAUCAGCACGGCCCUUACAUCCGGGGCGACACACGUGUUACAAUGGCGUGGACAAAGGGAGGCCACCUGGCGACAGGGAGCGAAUCCCCAAACCACGUCUCAGUUCGGAUCGGAGUCUGCAACCCGACUCCGUGAAGCUGGAUUCGCUAGUAAUCGCGCAUCAGCCAUGGCGCGGUGAAUACGUUCCCGGGCCUUGUACACACCGCCCGUCAAGCCAUGGGAGCCGGGGGUGCCUGAAGUCCGUAACCGAAAGGAUCGGCCUAGGGUAAAACUGGUGACUGGGGCUAAGUCGUAACAAGGUAGCCGUACCGGAAGGUGCGGCUGGAACACCUCCUUUCUGGAGCUU
Molecule: ribosomal RNA, 484 nt
Filed under: Parabacteroides distasonis
Lineage: Bacteria; Pseudomonadati; Bacteroidota; Bacteroidia; Bacteroidales; Tannerellaceae
Description: bacterial SSU rRNA
Rfam family: Bacterial small subunit ribosomal RNA
Source: RNAcentral